This is a long non-coding RNA of Gallus gallus (chicken), 3010 nucleotides long. RefSeq lists it as uncharacterized. The record is from RefSeq and is a predicted model, not a curated record. The transcript is spliced from 2 exons. NCBI's taxonomy places the organism in Eukaryota, Metazoa, Chordata, Aves, Galliformes, Phasianidae.
GGGAGAAGCCUGGAGGCCGCGCGGGCGGGCGGGGCCCGGGGAGCGGCAGUGCCGGCGUGAGGUCGCGGGGAGGGCCCUGGGCUUUGCUUUGCGGGCACGAGAAACGAUCUCUCUGUAGGGCCGCGGCGCUUCACUGCUCCUCACACCCGCCGUGCGCAGCCACACGGCCCGCGGCCCUCCCGCUGUCCAUCCAGCCCUUGGCCACCCCCCCUCCCCGGUACCCUGCGAGAGAGGAGGAGGAGAAGGGAGCACGCGAGGAGUAACAGCGCUUACAAAUGAAGCAGCAGCUUAGAAAAAAAUAACAAUUGCUUUAUUAGGAAGUUUAAUUCAAAGCACAGGAGGAAGCUGAAGAGGAAGGGUGUUUGUUCCAGAUUGCCACCCCAGGACACAGAAGGAGAGGGACGGCGUCGCUUCCAGGGCCAGGAUGGGGGUGCUGUGCCUAUGGGGCACGUCCAGGCCCCGCUCUCCUCUUCAGAUCCUUCCCUGCUCCUCGUGGAAGCCACUCAUUGCCUCCUCUGGCGAUGCUGAGCUGCGGUUCCAUGGCUCGCAGUACUGAGCUCUCCAUGCCGGCUGUGAGCUCAGGCAGCACAGUGCCAGGGCUUGUGAAUAAAACUGCCUCACCCCCAGCCGGCACACUGCUCUGUUCCUCCUCCACGGAGGCACUGCAGAGCUGAGCACGGCGCUCACACCAGGAGCUGGCUUUUGUUAUCCACAGCCCAACCCUGGCAGUGAGGAGAGCCACGCUCCCAACAGUUGUCGUGAGGUCACGGCCUUCACGUUACCAUCCCAUUUUGUCUUGUAAUCCCUCUCCUUCAUCAAGCAAUUCUCUCUUCUCUACUUCAUGCACUCUGCUUCCCAGCACCUGACUUAGCUCAAAAAUGGAGCUGAGCCCAGCCUUUCACAUUCGUCAGCACAUUCUCCACCAGAGCAGCACUCCAGGGACAGAACAGUGCUUACAUGCUCACAACGUUUUAGCCUAGUGAAGCUUUCAGUGCGAAAGCCCAGGAGCUCAGGAACCUCUACCCCUGGGGGAGGGACAUCAGAGGGGAAACCAGUCUGGAUCUGCUGCUGUGGCAGCAGAAAGCAUUGGCUAACAGCCUAGUUCAGAGACAGCCUACCUGCCCUCCAUGCACACCAAUAUCACACGAGUACUCAGGCUUCAACUCAACUCAACUGCAACCAACGUUUUCUUCUACCAAGCCCUCAGGAGAUCAUCUGCCAUCACUUCCCAGUCUAGAGCACAUUUGGGAACAGACCUUUCCAGGAGGGAGGGCUCCAGCAGAGCCACUCAACCCAGCACUCGCAGGAACAGCUCAAGUCGAGCUGCAGUGCAGCACUGGCUCAGCAUGACUGUCACUGCAUCAGGGCUGAUCGGGAGCCUGAGCCCGUGCUCCUCGUAAUCUGAUGGUGAAAGGAUUCACAGAACAGUCCAGGUCCAGAAGAGAGAAAGCAAAGGAAAAGCAGACGCUCCGGAGAGCACAGCCACGCUUAGUGCUUUGGUUUCUAAAAGACGCUUCCUAUUUUGGCACUUUGGAUAGAAGAUACACACAGAGGUUCCAUGUGUUCCAGCGAACACCUUUUGUUCUACAAAGAAAAAUAUUUGCAUUGAUCUGCUCCAAGCUAACCUAUCUUGCCCGACUACAAUAGCGGAUUAACGUAGGGAGCAGGAACACUGCCACCAUUGUUUCUGCAGUCUCUCAUUUGAUGAGAAACAAAAGGUUUCGCUCCCAUUUCUGCCAGCAACUUGCCACCAGUGGCUCCUCUCCUGUUGUCAGCAAGGAAGCAGCUCUACCUCCUGUGGGCCCAAGAUGUCCUCGUGACAGCAAUCUUUGCCUGCUUACUGCAGGCACCAGUGUGACACUCGCACCCUGGAGACACAGAGCAUCCCUGAGAGCGUGGGAAGGAGGAGCUCGGACCCCACAGCACCCUGGGCUCGCCCCAGUGCAUGCCAUCAUUGCUGCAGCUCAGCCCUGGGUUACUUCCCCUUUCUACCCUGGCUCAUCUCUGAGCCUGAGAGAAGCAGGCACCCAGCCAGCUCUCGUUCAGCAAGCGGCUUCCUUGGGAACCUUCCCUGUUGUGACAGCUCAAACAUUGCAGGGACUGCCAGGACCAAACCACUCAAGGAAGAGAUCCCCUCCCCCUUCUGACAUUGACAACCACAGCAGCAGCAGGCAACACCGCGUGCAGGAGCCUAUUUAAAAUGUCACCGAGACACAGGCUGAUGGAGGACACCAAGGCGUCCUUCCCCUGCCCUGGAGGUGAUGCUGGGGUGGGCUGCUUGGCGUUUGUGUUGUUCCUCUCCCGUGGUCUGUGCCUGCUGCAAUUUGACAGCCUCUAAUCACUCAGCGCGAACCAGAAACGUCACUCUCAUCUGUAUUGAUGGUGGUGCUACUCACCAGCACAAGAACACAUGCAGGUUCAGCCACCCACCCCAAAAGCAAGCCUCUGAGCCAUCUCACCCCUCAGCUUUAACCUUCAGGUCUUUUCUGCCUCCCCGUCACUUGAAAGCUGCAUUUUCCUCCUCUCUCCCUCUCCAACAGACGCAGCCAGUCCACAGGGCAACUUUUAUGUUUAAAGGGAAAGCCAGCAGCUUCUCAGGGAUGCAGGGUACAGAGUGGAGGAGCUCUAAGAGCCACGUGCAGGUCACAGUGAUUUCUCAGCUGUGAAAUCCACCAAAAAAAAAAAAAAAACAACCCUCACCUUUCCUCCUCACCUUCCCUGGAGGGGCUGCCAUCAGCCUCAUCUCCUGCAGCAACAAGGCCUGAACAAGGCACAAGGAGCAUAACACGCGGAGGACUUAAUUCCCUGCUGCAGCAGCAGGCAGUUCUCUGACAUCCUGCUCCCAUUUUGCUCAGAGUCAGGAGCCAUCUUGAGCCCUUUGCAGACUUGUUCCUGGCACUGCAAACAGUUACAACAGAGAAGAGUGAGCUCAUCGCCAGGGCCGUUGUUCCACUCCCCCUCCAACCCAAUCCUCUUACUCGAGUUACAAAUAAAACCCAUUUUCUUGGUC